Molecule: ribosomal RNA, 207 nt
Filed under: uncultured bacterium
Lineage: Bacteria
Description: partial 16S ribosomal RNA
Rfam family: Bacterial small subunit ribosomal RNA
Source: RNAcentral
UGCGUAGGUGGUAUGGCAAGUCAGAAGUGAAAACCCAGGGCUUAACUCUGGGACUGCUUUUGAAACUGUCAGACUAGAGUGCAGGAGAGGUAAGCGGAAUUCCUAGUGUAGCGGUGAAAUGCGUAGAUAUUAGGAGGAACAUCAGUGGCGAAGGCGGCUUACUGGACUGAAACUGACACUGAGGCACGAAAGCGUGGGAGGCAAACA